Molecule: ribosomal RNA, 537 nt
Filed under: uncultured bacterium
Lineage: Bacteria
Description: partial 16S ribosomal RNA
Rfam family: Bacterial small subunit ribosomal RNA
Source: RNAcentral
UGGGGAAUAUUGCACAAUGGGCGCAAGCCUGAUGCAGCAACGCCGCGUGAGGGAUGACGGCCUUCGGGUUGUAAACCUCUUUUAGCAGGGAAGAAGCGAAAGUGACGGUACCUGCAGAAAAAGCACCGGCUAACUACGUGCCAGCAGCCGCGGUAAUACGUAGGGUGCAAGCGUUGUCCGGAAUUAUUGGGCGUAAAGAGCUCGUAGGCGGUCUGUCGCGUCUGCUGUGAAAUCCCGAGGCUCAACCUCGGGCCUGCAGUGGGUACGGGCAGACUAGAGUGCGGUAGGGGAGAAUGGAACUCCUGGUGUAGCGGUGGAAUGCGCAGAUAUCAGGAAGAACACCGAUGGCGAAGGCAGUUCUCUGGGCCGUAACUGACGCUGAGGAGCGAAAGCGUGGGGAGCGAACAGGAUUAGAUACCCUGGUAGUCCACGCCGUAAACGUUGGGCGCUAGAUGUGGGGACCAUUCCACGGUUUCCGUGUCGCAGCUAACGCAUUAAGCGCCCCGCCUGGGGAGUACGGCCGCAAGGCUAAAACUU